AUGUUGUAUGAAAGAAGAAAGGUUAGCACUCCUAGUGAUAAGGAUGGAAGAGGCUCUUGUCCUGACAACAUGCAUACGGUUAAGGCAUUGCCACCUACUUCAUGGCAUCUAAUCAACAUUUUUG
Small nuclear RNA from Lutra lutra (Eurasian river otter), 124 nucleotides. Lineage: Eukaryota; Metazoa; Chordata; Mammalia; Carnivora; Mustelidae. The record is from RefSeq and is a predicted model, not a curated record.